RNAcentral lists this long non-coding RNA (1256 nucleotides) under Anas platyrhynchos platyrhynchos (common mallard). RNAcentral describes it as "lncRNA (ENSAPLG00000017839.1)". The record is from RNAcentral. Lineage: Eukaryota; Metazoa; Chordata; Aves; Anseriformes; Anatidae.
UCUUCUUUUUUCUUCUUUUUUCUUCUUUUUUCUUCUUUUUUCUUCUUCUUUCUUCUUUUUUCUUCUUUUUUCUUCUUUUUUCUUCUUUUUUCUUCUUUUUUCUUCUUUUUUCUUCUUUUUUCUUCUUUUUUCUUCUUUUUUCUUCUAUGAAAGUAAAGUUAAAAUGUGUAUUGAAAGGAGUCUUCUUUGGGUAGAAGAGUGUCAGACAGAUCAACUAAAAUUACUUCCAAACUUUUCUUAUGAUUGUAUCUUACUGGUUGUGUUUCUUAUAUAAAUAUGUAUAUUUUUCAAAUAUUAGAGAAACUAUGUAGCAUACAACAAAGUAAUAAAGAUCCUGCAUCUUUUGCAGCUUAUUUAAACUGUCUGAUUGCAUGUAUAAAAAUACAAAAUUUAAAGAUAGUUCAGUGGAUAUGAAACAAGUUGAUACUUACCUUAAUACAAGUGAAAACAUGACAGAAGCGAGAAAAGAUGUGUGGAGAAUAAAUCAUCAUACUCCAAUAUCUACAGACUCAGAUUUUACCCUACAUAGGGUAAAUGAUGGGAACAUUGCAUCUAAAAUAGGAUUUCAAAUAAAAUCACUUCCUAGUGCUUCAAGGAUUCUGGAUAAGACAGGAACAACAGGAAGAAAUUUGGAAAUGUUGAGGGCUGUUACAGAAAUACGUAUCCUUUUAUUUGCUGUAUCUGAUUUAUUGAAUUUAUUACCAUGACUCUUACAUUUACAAAAUUAUAGUGGUUAGUUUGUAGCCAUAAGAACUCAUGCAUUAUACUGUAAUAGUUUUGAAUUGUAACGUAAUGCUGGGAGUUGAAUGGGAAUUUAUGCCUGGGACCUCCAAAGCUAGAAUGAAAAUAGAAUAACUUAUAAAUAGAUCAUUCAUCACCAAGCAAACUUAUUCUUAUUUCAACCAUGUACAUUUUAUCCUCAAAAUUACUUAUUUUUAAAAUGUAAAAUUUAAAAUUUUUAGUUUGGUAAGAAUUGACAUAAUUUCCAGAACAAGUAAGAACUCAGUUGUUCUGAUGUUGCCAAUUGCAGAUAAAGUUCCUCUUUUUGAAAAUGGGUCAUUUAUUUAGAGGGAUAAUUUUAGAGAAGCCUUUUUAAAAAAUCCUUGCUCACCUUUACUUUUUUUCUGGUUUUAUUUCAUUAUUUUCUUGUAUUACUCUUUUUUUUUUUUUUUUUUGAGUCAUUUAAAAUGAAUAGAACAACUUUUUAAGGCCUCAGCUGUUCAUUGUUUUUGUGACUGUUGGUGUUACAUCCGACU